RNAcentral lists this ribosomal RNA (1287 nucleotides) under metagenome. RNAcentral describes it as "bacterial SSU rRNA". It matches the Rfam family "Bacterial small subunit ribosomal RNA", at positions 242 to 1520 of the family's 1533-position model. The record is from RNAcentral.
UAGCUAGUUGGUGAGGUAACGGCUUACCAAGGCGACGAUCUGUAGCGGGUCUGAGAGGAUGAUCCGCCACACUGGAACUGAGACACGGUCCAGACUCCUACGGGAGGCAGCAGUGGGGAAUUUUGGACAAUGGGGGCAACCCUGAUCCAGCCAUGCCGCGUGAGUGAAGAAGGCCUUCGGGUUGUAAAGCUCUUUCGGCCGGGAAGAAAUCGCAUGGGCCAAUACCCUGUGUGGAUGACGGUACCGGAAUAAGAAGCACCGGCUAACUACGUGCCAGCAGCCGCGGUAAUACGUAGGGUGCGAGCGUUAAUCGGAAUUACUGGGCGUAAGGCGUGCGCAGGCGGUUUUGUAAGACAGGCGUGAAACCCCCGGGCUCAACCUGGGAACUGCGUUUGUGACUGUAAGGCUAGAGUACGGCAGAGGGGGGUGGAAUUCCACGUGUAGCAGUGAAAUGCGUAGAGAUGUGGAGGAACACCAAUGGCGAAGGCAGCCCCCUGGGUCGAUACUGACGCUCAUGCACGAAAGCGUGGGUAGCAAACAGGAUUAGAUACCCUGGUAGUCCACGCCCUAAACUAUGUCGACUAGGUGUUGGGUGGGUAAAACCAUUUAGUACCGUAGCUAACGCGUGAAGUUGACCGCCUGGGGAGUACGGCCGCAAGGUUAAAACUCAAAGGAAUUGACGGGGACCCGCACAAGCGGUGGAUGAUGUGGAUUAAUUCGAUGCAACGCGAAAAACCUUACCUACCCUUGACAUGCCAGGAACUUGCCAGAGAUGGCUUGGUGCCCGAAAGGGAGCCUGGACACAGGUGCUGCAUGGCUGUCGUCAGCUCGUGUCGUGAGAUGUUGGGUUAAGUCCCGCAACGAGCGCAACCCUUGUCGUUAAUUGCCAUCAUUUAGUUGGGCACUUUAGCGAGACUGCCGGUGACAAACCGGAGGAAGGUGGGGAUGACGUCAAGUCCUCAUGGCCCUUAUGGGUAGGGCUUCACACGUCAUACAAUGGUCGGUACAAAGGGUCGCCAAGCCGCGAGGUGGAGCCAAUCCCAGAAAGCCGAUCGUAGUCCGGAUUGCAGGCUGCAACUCGCCUGCAUGAAGUCGGAAUCACUAGUAAUCGUGGAUCAGCAUGUCACGGUGAAUACGUUCCCGGGUCUUGUACACACCGCCCGUCACACCAUGGGAGCGGGUUCCGCCAGAAGUAGGUAGCCUAACCGCAAGGAGGGCGCUUACCACGGCGGGGUUCGUGACUGGGGUGAAGUCGUAACAAGGUAGCCGUAGGGGAACCUGCGGCUG